RNAcentral lists this ribosomal RNA (497 nucleotides) under uncultured bacterium. RNAcentral's name for it is "partial 16S ribosomal RNA". It matches the Rfam family "Bacterial small subunit ribosomal RNA", at positions 28 to 507 of the family's 1533-position model. The record is from RNAcentral.
GAUGAACGCUGGCGGCGUGCCUAAUACAUGCAAGUCGAGCGAACGGACGAGAAGCUUGCUUCUCUGAUGUUAGCGGCGGACGGGUGAGUAACACGUGGAUAACCUACCUAUAAGACUGGGAUAACUUCGGGAAACCGGAGCUAAUACCGGAUAAUAUUUUGAACCGCAUGGUUCAAAAGUGAAAGACGGUCUUGCUGUCACUUAUAGAUGGAUCCGCGCUGCAUUAGCUAGUUGGUAAGGUAACGGCUUACCAAGGCAACGAUGCAUAGCCGACCUGAGAGGGUGAUCGGCCACACUGGAACUGAGACACGGUCCAGACUCCUACGGGAGGCAGCAGUAGGGAAUCUUCCGCAAUGGGCGAAAGCCUGACGGAGCAACGCCGCGUGAGUGAUGAAGGUCUUCGGAUCGUAAAACUCUGUUAUUAGGGAAGAACAUGUGUGUAAGUAACUGUGCACAUCUUGACGGUACCUAAUCAGAAAGCCACGGCUAACUACGUG